UACGGAGGGUGCAAGCGUUAUCCGGAUUCACUGGGUUUAAAGGGUGUGUAGGUGGGUUGGUAAGUCAGUGGUGAAAUCUUCAAGCUUAACUUGGAAACUGUCGUUGAUACUAUCAAUCUUGAAUAUUGUGGAGGUAAGCGGAAUAUGUCAUGUAGUGGUGAAAUGCUUAGAUAUGACAUAGAACACUGAUAGCGAAGGCAGCUUGCUACACAGUAAUUGACGCUGAGGCACGAAAGCGUGGGGAUCAAACAGG
Molecule: ribosomal RNA, 253 nt
Filed under: uncultured bacterium
Lineage: Bacteria
Description: partial 16S ribosomal RNA
Rfam family: Bacterial small subunit ribosomal RNA
Source: RNAcentral